AGAGUUUGAUCCUGGCUCAGGACGAACGCUGGCGGCGUGCUUAACACAUGCAAGUCGAGCGGAGAUGUAGAUAAGCUUGCUUAGAUACAUUUUAGCGGCGGACGGGUGAGUAACACGUGGGUAAUCUGGCCUUUAGAGGGGGAUAACACAGAGAAAUCUGUGCUAAUACCGCAUAACACUGAUAGGUUGCAUAACAUAUCAGUCAAAGGAGAAAUCUGCUAAAGGAUGAGCCCGCGGCCCAUUAGCUAGUUGGUGGGGUAAAGGCCUACCAAGGCGACGAUGGGUAGCCGACCUGAGAGGGUGAUCGGCCACAUUGGGACUGAGACACGGCCCAGACUCCUACGGGAGGCAGCAGUGGGGAAUAUUGCACAAUGGGGGAAACCCUGAUGCAGCAACGCCGCGUGAGUGAAGAAGGCCUUCGGGUUGUAAAGCUCUGUCUUUGGGGAAGAAAAUGACGGUACCCAAGGAGGAAGCCACGGCUAACUACGUGCCAGCAGCCGCGGUAAUACGUAGGUGGCGAGCGUUGUCCGGAAUUAUUGGGCGUAAAGGGUGCGUAGGCGGCUCUUUAAGUGAGAUGUGAAAUCCCGAGGCUUAACCUCGGAGCUGCAUUUCAAACUGGGGAGCUGGAGUGCAGGAGAGGAAAGUGGAAUUCCUAGUGUAGCGGUGAAAUGCGUAGAGAUUAGGAGGAACACCAGUGGCGAAGGCGGCUUUCUGGACUGCAACUGACGCUGAGGCACGAAAGUGUGGGGAGCAAACAGGAUUAGAUACCCUGGUAGUCCACACUGUAAACGAUGGAUACUAGGUGUAGGAGGCGGAGCCUUCUGUGCCGGAGUUAACACAAUAAGUAUCCCGCCUGGGGAGUACGAUCGCAAGAUUAAAACUCAAAGGAAUUGACGGGGGCCCGCACAAGCGGAGGAACAUGUGGUUUAAUUCGAUGAUACGCGAGGAACCUUACCCAGGCUUAAAUUGCAGAUGAAUAUAGUGGAAACAUUAUAGCCUUCGGGCAUCUGUGAAGGUGCUGCAUGGUUGUCGUCAGCUCGUGCCGUGAGGUGUCGGCUUAAGUGCCAUAACGAGCGCAACCCUUAUUGAUAGUUACUAACAGGUUAAGCUGAGGACUCUAUCGAGACUGCCGUCGUAAGAUGCGAGGAAGGUGGGGAUGACGUCAAAUCAGCACGGCCCUUACGUCUGGGGCUACACACGUGUUACAAUGGGGGGUACAGAAGGUCGCUACCUGGCAACAGGAUGCUAAUCCCAAAAGCCUCUCUCAGUUCGGAUUGGAGUCUGCAACCCGACUCCAUGAAGCUGGAUUCGCUAGUAAUCGCGCAUCAGCCACGGCGCGGUGAAUACGUUCCCGGGCCUUGUACACACCGCCCGUCAAGCCAUGGGAGCCGGGGGUACCUGAAGUACGUAACCGCAAGGAGCGUCCUAGGGUAAAACUGGUGACUGGGGCUAAGUCGUAACAAGGUAGCC
Molecule: ribosomal RNA, 1470 nt
Filed under: uncultured bacterium
Lineage: Bacteria
Description: partial 16S ribosomal RNA
Rfam family: Bacterial small subunit ribosomal RNA
Source: RNAcentral